Molecule: ribosomal RNA, 492 nt
Filed under: uncultured bacterium
Lineage: Bacteria
Description: partial 16S ribosomal RNA
Rfam family: Bacterial small subunit ribosomal RNA
Source: RNAcentral
AGUGAACGCUGGCGGUAGGCCUAACACAUGCAAGUCGAACGGCAGCACAGUAAGAGCUUGCUCUUACGGGUGGCGAGUGGCGGACGGGUGAGGAAUACAUCGGAAUCUACUUUUUCGUGGGGGAUAACGUAGGGAGACUUACGCUAAUACCGCAUACGACCUACGGGUGAAAUCAGGGGAUCUUCGGCCCUUGCGCGAUUGAAUGAGCCGAUGUCGGAUUAGCUAGUUGGCGGGGUAAAGGCCCACCAAGGCGACGAUCCGUAGCUGGUCUGAGAGGAUGAUCAGCCACACUGGAACUGAGACACGGUCCAGACUCCUACGGGAGGCAGCAGUGGGGAAUAUUGGACAAUGGGCGCAAGCCUGAUCCAGCCAUACCGCGUGGGUGAAGAAGGCCUUCGGGUUGUAAAGCCCUUUUGUUGGGAAAGAAAAGCAGCAGGUUAAUACCCCGCUGUUCUGACGGUACCCAAAGAAUAAGCACCGGCUAACUUCGUG